Molecule: long non-coding RNA, 557 nt
Organism: Hyaena hyaena (striped hyena)
Lineage: Eukaryota; Metazoa; Chordata; Mammalia; Carnivora; Hyaenidae
Exons: 2
Source: RefSeq, a predicted model, not a curated record
CUCGUUGGUGGAGUUGUCGUUCAGGGCUGAGACGCUCCUCGUUUCUGCCCGGCUACACCACCUGGUGUUGCCCGUGCGGUGACAAGUUUGGUUACGAAGUCAGCUCUCUUUGUCAAAGCAGGCAAGAAGUCGGAAAUCGCCUCAGAGAAGGAACAAUGAAGGGAAUCGGAAAUAUUUGAACUGGAGAAGGGAAUGCGUGAUAAGUCUCUUCAUUGAAGUAUUUUUUUCGCGUGGAAAAUUUUACUACUUCAGAGGACACAUCAAAGAUCAAAGGAUGAAAGUUAAAGCGAUGCAGAAUUUAGCUCAAUAAAGCACAGUAGCAGUUAGAACCCUGAAAAACAGAACAGGGAGAAUUCUGUUUGAGAGCUUGUGGGAAAUUUAAAUUAUCAGCAAGAGGCUGAGUUGUAAUAAGAAGAGGUUCCAUGUUGACAAGUUUCAAAAUCUCAUACAGAAUUUUUAAUUGCAGUGGAUGAUGAGAGGUGACAAGUUCUACAGUGACUGUAAAUCAUUGCACAAUAGUAAGGAAAACAAGGCUAUAUAAAGUAUAUUUUAUUGUA